AAAGUAAAUAUGUAUUCUAUCGAAUAUACAUUUUCAAACCCAUCUGCGUACGUUACCCGUUGCUUCCGCGGGGCAGUGAUCACGAUCACCUCCAGACGAUGGCGCAAGCCCAUCCGACGGGGAGCCCCCGCGAAAGGUAUACACCAAACCCUUGCAUUUUCAUGCCAUCUGUCUGAACCUGUUUAUAACAAAUGUUA
This 197-nucleotide unclassified non-coding RNA is filed under the name uncultured fungus. Its description in RNAcentral is "sequence contains ITS1, 5.8S rRNA gene". Lineage: Eukaryota; Fungi. The record is from RNAcentral.